This 1171-nucleotide ribosomal RNA is filed under the name uncultured Bacteroides sp. Its description in RNAcentral is "bacterial SSU rRNA". It matches the Rfam family "Bacterial small subunit ribosomal RNA", at positions 10 to 1177 of the family's 1533-position model. The record is from RNAcentral. Lineage: Bacteria; Pseudomonadati; Bacteroidota; Bacteroidia; Bacteroidales; Bacteroidaceae.
AGUUUGAUCCUGGCUCAGGAUGAACGCUAGCUACAGGCUUAACACAUGCAAGUCGAGGGGCAGCAUGGUCUUAGCUUGCUAGGGCCGAUGGCGACCGGCGCACGGGUGAGUAACACGUAUCCAACCUGCCGUCUACUCUUGGACAGCCUUCUGAAAGGAAGAUUAAUACAAGAUGGCAUCAUGAGUCCGCAUGNUCACAUGGUUAAAGGUAUUCCGGUAGACGAUGGGGAUGCGUUCCAUUAGAUAGUAGGCGGGGUAACGGCCCACCUAGUCUUCGAUGGAUAGGGGUUCUGAGAGGAAGGUCCCCCACAUUGGAACUGAGACACGGUCCAAAUCCUACGGGAGGCAGCAGUGAGGAAUAUUGGUCAAUGGGCGAGAGCCUGAACCAGCCAAGUAGCGUGAAGGAUGACUGCCCUAUGGGUUGUAAACUUCUUUUAUAAAGGAAUAAAGUCGGGUAUGGAUACCCGUUUGCAUGUACUUUAUGAAUAAGGAUCGGCUAACUCCGUGCCAGCAGCCGCGGUAAUACGGAGGAUCCGAGCGUUAUCCGGAUUUAUUGGGUUUAAAGGGAGCGUAGAUGGAUGUUUAAGUCAGUUGUGAAAGUUUGCGGCUCAACCGUAAAAUUGCAGUUGAUACUGGAUAUCUUGAGUGCAGUUGAGGCAGGCGGAAUUCGUGGUGUAGCGGUGAAGUGCUUAGAUAUCACGAAGAACUCCGAUUGCGAAGGCAGCCUGCUAAGCUGCAACUGACAUUGAGGCUCGAAAGUGUGGGUAUCAAACAGGAUUAGAUACCCUGGUAGUCCACACGGUAAACGAUGAAUACUCGCUGUUUGCGAUAUACUGCAAGCGGCCAAGCGAAAGCGUUAAGUAUUCCACCUGGGGAGUACGCCGGCAACGGUGAAACUCAAAGGAAUUGACGGGGGCCCGCACAAGCGGAGGAACAUGUGGUUUAAUUCGAUGAUACGCGAGGAACCUUACCCGGGCUUAAAUUGCAGAUGAAUUACGGUGAAAGCCGUAAGCCGCAAGGCAUCUGUGAAGGUGCUGCAUGGUUGUCGUCAGCUCGUGCCGUGAGGUGUCGGCUUAAGUGCCAUAACGAGCGCAACCCUUGUUGUCAGUUACUAACAGGUUCCGCUGAGGACUCUGACAAGACUGCCAUCGUAAGAUGUGANGAAGGUGGA